Long non-coding RNA from Oncorhynchus tshawytscha (Chinook salmon), 263 nucleotides. RefSeq lists it as uncharacterized. Lineage: Eukaryota; Metazoa; Chordata; Actinopteri; Salmoniformes; Salmonidae. The record is from RefSeq and is a predicted model, not a curated record. The transcript has 4 exons.
AGCUGGGCAUCCACACCAAUGUCAGGAAGUACGACAUGGUGGCCACAACGUACAUCAAGAAAAUCUCUAUGAAGUGCCUGGAGUUCUCAGAUUCCAACGGUGAACCACUGUGUCUGAUCAGUUCCUCUGUGGAGUCAGGUGCUGACCUCCUCAAAGUGGAAUACUUCAAGGCUGACAGAAAUAGGCCAAACUUUGCCACUGUUCACAAGAAUACUGAGCAGAUGAUCAAUGUGACCUUCACCUCCCUGGAUCUACUACUUCAC